AGCUCGGAGAAGAACACAUGAGAAAGAAUCUCCAGAUUAACACAUUGACUGCAAGCAAGACUAGGAAUAUAGGAAAACAGAAACAUGAAGAGGCCAUUCAAGGAGGAUCCUUUUAUUAUAAACCGACCGGAUUUUCAAUUCAGUAAAAGUGUGGAGAACAG
Callorhinchus milii (elephant shark) is the source of this 161-nucleotide long non-coding RNA. RefSeq lists it as uncharacterized. NCBI's taxonomy places the organism in Eukaryota, Metazoa, Chordata, Chondrichthyes, Chimaeriformes, Callorhinchidae. The transcript has 3 exons. The record is from RefSeq and is a predicted model, not a curated record.